RNAcentral lists this ribosomal RNA (447 nucleotides) under uncultured bacterium. Its description in RNAcentral is "partial 16S ribosomal RNA". It matches the Rfam family "Bacterial small subunit ribosomal RNA", at positions 29 to 523 of the family's 1533-position model. The record is from RNAcentral.
AACGAACGCUGGCGGCAGGCCUAACACAUGCAAGUCGAACGCCCCGCAAGGGGAGUGGCAGACGGGUGAGUAACGCGUGGGAACGUGCCUUUCGGUUCGGAAUAGGCAGGGGAAACCCGGGUUAAUACCGGAUACGUCCUUCGGGAGAAAGAUUUAUCGCCGAGAGAUCGGCCCGCGUCUGAUUAGCUAGUUGGCGGGGUAAUGGCCCACCAAGGCGACGAUCAGUAGCUGGGCUGAGAGGAUGAUCAGCCACACUGGGACUGAGACACGGGCCAGACUCCUACGGCGGGGAGCAGUGGGGAAUAUUGGACAAUGGGCGCAAGCCUGAUCCAGCCAUGCCGCGUGAGUGAUGAAGGCCCUAGGGUUGUAAAGCUCUUUCGGCGGGGACGAUAAUGACGGUACCCGCAGAAGAAGCCCCGGCUAACUUCGUGCCAGCCGCCGCCGUAA